RNAcentral lists this ribosomal RNA (400 nucleotides) under uncultured bacterium. RNAcentral describes it as "bacterial SSU rRNA". It matches the Rfam family "Bacterial small subunit ribosomal RNA", at positions 359 to 775 of the family's 1533-position model. The record is from RNAcentral.
GAAUUUUGCGCAAUGGGCGAAAGCCUGACGCAGCAACGCCGCGUGGGGGAAGAAGGCCUUCGGGUUGUAAACCCCUUUCAGGAGGGAAGAAAUUGACGGUACCUCCAGAAGAAGCACCGGCCAACUACGUGCCAGCAGCCGCGGUAAUACGUAGGGUGCGAGCGUUAUCCGGAAUCAUUGGGCGUAAAGAGCUCGUAGGCGGUUCAGCAAGUCGGCUGUGAAAGUCCGGGGCUCAACCCCGGAAUUGCAGUCGAUACUGCUGUGACUAGAGUCCGGUAGAGGAGAGUGGAAUUCCCGGUGUAGCGGUGGAAUGCGCAGAUAUCGGGAGGAACACCAGUAGCGAAGGCGGCUCUCUGGGCCGGCACUGACGCUGAGGAGCGAAAGCGUGGGGAGCAAACAG